AGAUUGAACGCUGGCGGCGUGCCUAACACAUGCAAGUCGAGCGGUAACAGGUGUAGCAAUACAUGCUGACGAGCGGCGGACGGAUGAGUAACGCUUGGGAAUCUGCCUGUUAGUGGGGGACAACCCGGGGAAACUCGGGCUAAUACCGCAUACGCACUACGGUGGAAAGCCGGGGACCGCAAGGCCUGGCGCUAACAGAUGAGCCCAAGUCGGAUUAGCUAGUUGGUAGGGUAAUGGCCUACCAAGGCGACGAUCCGUAACUGGUCUGAGAGGACGACCAGUCACACCGGAACUGAGACACGGUCCGGACUCCUACGGGAGGCAGCAGUGGGGAAUAUUGGACAAUGGGCGAAAGCCUGAUCCAGCGACGCCGCGUGGGUGAAGAAGGCCUGCGGGUUGUAAAGCCCUUUCAGUGGGGAAGAAAAGCCUCGAGUUAACACCUCGGGGUCUUGACGUAACCCAUAGAAGAAGCACCGGCUAACUCUGUGCCAGCAGCCGC
Molecule: ribosomal RNA, 499 nt
Filed under: uncultured bacterium
Lineage: Bacteria
Description: SSU rRNA
Rfam family: Bacterial small subunit ribosomal RNA
Source: RNAcentral